UUGUAGACAGAGUAUAAGUGCACUUCCUGUGCCGGACGAGGUCUUUCUGCUUCUUGUGAAAUACACGCCCUGUUCUCAGUUCCAACACCACUCUCUUUUAUUUUUAAUAAUUUAAUUUCACUGAUGGUUGAGUGUAGAAAAAAAAUCAUGUCAAAAGGCAAAAUAGGAUAUAUAUUAAUAAUGCAAAGAAAAUGAAUAAUGUUGAGAAAAUUUGUUAUUCGAGAUUCAGUCAUAACAAUUAUUUACUGCAUGAUGUAGAGGCAUUAGGGGGACAUCUAGUGGCCUCAAAUAUUACUGCAGGCGAUUCCUUGCCCCACAGGGUAGAAGUGUGUUUUCUCAUAGAGCAUAGAGCAAAGCAAAAAUAAAAUAAAAUAAAAUAAAAUAAAAUAAAAUAAAAAAGGGGUGUUUGUAAUGUAAUAGUGCUCUGGUGUUAACUUACAAACUAGCGGAGGUACAAGAGAAGUUUGAAGCAGCUUAAAUCUACACCACACAUCAAUGAUCAAAGCUGCUGUCUCAAAACAACAAGAACCAAUCAACAACAGGUUGUCCUGUUGUCCUAACCCAUUUUAUUUAUUUAUUUACUUACAAUUAAAAAGAAGAAGAAGAAGAAAGAAACAGCAUGGAUAUUGGAAAAUAAAUAAAAUCACACAUUUAAUAAAACAAAAUAUAUUCGUUUGUUAAACAGGGAAGAUCAUGAUCAUUUAUUCUGCUAUGAUGAGUCAUCUGUAUGACUUGUUAAUAGUAAGAUUUCUCUAACAAAAGAUCAAAAACUGCAUGUUGCUGUAUUAACCAACAUUAAAUGUAUUAUGUUCUGUAUAUAAGCACACAUGAAAAUAUUUGUAUAAUAUUUGGUUUGUUGUUUGCUUGUGAUUUUAUUACAGCCAGCAUCAUUAUUAUUAUUAGUAUAUGUCCAUUAUAGUUUGAUAUAUUUGAUAUGAUAUAUAUUAUUGUGAAACCAUUUUAAUCUGUUUCAUCAGUAUUGGUCCACUGGUCUAAGAGGAGUUGGGGAACACACAAACGUACACACAUUCAUAUGAUUAGCUCCACAGCAGUGGCCGAUCCUCAUCAUCGUAAACCAUCUGGUUGGUGCAGAGAGCAAAAAAAUAAGUGAAAACAUAAACACCUGUCAGGACGUAGGUCAGGGUGAUGCAACAAAAUGCAGACAGGUAGAGCGUCUUGUUGCAGUAGUGAUCGGUGUCUGUAGUGUUCUUGUUGUAGUCGGG
Long non-coding RNA from Astatotilapia calliptera (eastern happy), 1223 nucleotides. The record is from Ensembl. Lineage: Eukaryota; Metazoa; Chordata; Actinopteri; Cichliformes; Cichlidae.